This 500-nucleotide ribosomal RNA is filed under the name uncultured bacterium. RNAcentral describes it as "bacterial SSU rRNA". It matches the Rfam family "Bacterial small subunit ribosomal RNA", at positions 28 to 529 of the family's 1533-position model. The record is from RNAcentral.
GAUGAACGCUAGCGGGAGGCUUAACACAUGCAAGUCGAGGGGUAUUCCGGUAACACGGGAGAGACCGGCGGACGGGUGCGUAACGCGUAUGCAACCUACCUUAUGCUGGAGGAUAGGCUUCGGAAACGGGGAUUAAUACUUCAUAAGCCUUAUGAUUUGCAUGAGUUAUAAGGGAAAGCUUAGGUGGCAUAAGAUGGGCAUGCGUCUGAUUAGCUUGAUGGUAAGGUAACGGCUUACCAUUGCAAUGAUCAGUAGGGGUCCUGAGAGGGAGGUCCCCCACACUGGUACUGAGAUACGGACCAGACUCCUACGGGAGGCAGCAGUGAGGAAUAUUGGGCAAUGGGCGGAAGCCUGACCCAGCCAUUCCGCGUGCAGGAAGAAGGCCUUAUGGGUUGUAAACUGCUUUUCUGCGGGGAGAAAAGCUCCAAUGCGUUGGGGAAUGACGGUACCGCAGGAAUAAGCAUCGGCUAACUCCGUGCCAGCAGCCGCGGUAAAACGUG